UCUCCACACUGCUCUAAACACCGAGCAUUCAAACUGCCAGUCCAGUCUACAACAACUGAACAAUGUGUUCAUCAUUUACUAUCUCACUCUUCCUCUCAGCUCUCUGGAGUCAGGUUUCUCUGGGGAUCAUCACAGUAGAUCAGUCUCCUCCGGUCAUCUCCGUCCAGCCUCACGACACUGUGAAGAUUCUUUGUCGAGCUUCACAGGACAUUCAUGAUGACAUGGAGCUGUAUCAGCUUAAACCUGGACAGGCUCCUAAACAUCUGAUUCACGACAGUACUAGCAGAAUGUCUGGUGUUCCUGACAGAUUCAGUGGCACAUAUACAGCAGCUCUGACAACCUUCACCAUCUCAGGUGUUCAGCUGGAGGAUGAAGCUGAGUAUCACUGUGCCCACAGUGAAGAGCUUCCAGUCACACAGUGAACACUGUUCAAAAACCUCUGUGUGUUUCUCAGGUUCACUGAUCACACAAUGAGAACCUGGUGUUAUGUUAGGUACUUUAUUACUACACUGUAAAAAGAGGCUCAUCAGAUCUACUUAAAUUUACUUCAUGUGGUUACAAGUAGAUUAACUAGUUUUAUUCAACCUAAAUAAAUACUUAUAAUUAAUUCUUUCAGUGUAUUUUUUUUAAGUUGAAUAAGACUAGUUCAAUUGCUUGCUACCACAUGAAGUAUUUUUUUUUACGUAGAUCUGACAAGACACUUUUUACAGUGUAUAUAUCAAAGGAGUUACCUAUAUUACUUAAACAAUUAUUUAAACACCGAAAAUAAUUAUUUAUCAUCAUUCUUUAUUUUUAGCCCAGGGCCUAAAGCCAACCAAUUCCCUCCUUCAUAAUAGCUUACUUCUAGUUAUAUCUAGUUAUAUCUAGCUUCUAGUCCCUAACUGAAGUAAGAAGCCCCCCUGGUGAAUAUUGCAUCUAGCAUUUAUAGAAAGUAUAAUUUUAAGUCCUUAAUUUAAUAUGACAAAUGACAGAAAAUAGAACCACUAGCAAUGUAAUUCUAUUCAUUAAUUAGUUAUUGUGAGUAUAUUAAUAGCAAAAAUAUAUGAUGUGUGUUCCUUUAAUGGUGGUGUUAUUAUUAUUGUUGUUGUUGUUGUUGUUGUUAUAGCAACAAUACUAAGAAUAACAAUUUAAGCAAUGGAAAUAGCAAUCAAAUUUAAUUGGCAAGUGAAAAUGAUUGCUAGGCAUGAUAGUUUAGAUCACUCUGUUAAGCUGCAAAACUCACUCAACUCAUCUCCACCAAGACGACUGAAUGUUGCCUAAUUCUAGCUAACAAUCCUGUUAAUGUUCGGGACUCAGGCGCAGCCUCAGUCUUUAAGUCUAUGCUAAAAACUUACUUGUAUAGU
Molecule: non-coding RNA, 1343 nt
Organism: Colossoma macropomum (tambaqui)
Lineage: Eukaryota; Metazoa; Chordata; Actinopteri; Characiformes; Serrasalmidae
Source: the annotation of a RefSeq genome assembly